RNAcentral lists this ribosomal RNA (497 nucleotides) under uncultured bacterium. RNAcentral describes it as "partial 16S ribosomal RNA". It matches the Rfam family "Bacterial small subunit ribosomal RNA", at positions 28 to 507 of the family's 1533-position model. The record is from RNAcentral.
GAUGAACGCUGGCGGCGUGCCUAAUACAUGCAAGUCGAGCGAACGGACGAGAAGCUUGCUUCUCUGAUGUUAGCGGCGGACGGGUGAGUAACACGUGGAUAACCUACCUAUAAGACUGGGAUAACUUCGGGAAACCGGAGCUAAUACCGGAUGAUAUUUUGAACCGCAUGGUUCAAAAGUGAAAGACGGUCUUGCUGUCACUUAUAGAUGGAUCCGCGCUGCAUUAGCUAGUUGGUAAGGUAACGGCUUACCAAGGCAACGAUGCAUAGCCGACCUGAGAGGGUGAUCGGCCACACUGGAACUGAGACACGGUCCAGACUCCUACGGGAGGCAGCAGUAGGGAAUCUUCCGCAAUGGGCGAAAGCCUGACGGAGCAACGCCGCGUGAGUGAUGAAGGUCUUCGGAUCGUAAAACUCUGUUAUUAGGGAAUAACAUAUGUGUAAGUAACUGUGCACAUCUUGACGGUACCUAAUCAGAAAGCCACGGCUAACUACGUG